AGGAGUGAUUUAGGAAAGGCUAGAGUUAAAAUGUUGGGACCCGAAAGAUGGUGAACUAUGCUUGUGGUGUUUGAAGCCGAAGGAAACUUUGGUGGAAGGACUUAGGAGUGUUACCGUACAAAUUACUUGCAAUAUAUGAUGAUUGGUAAAGAUAAUGAUUGGAUGUAAUGGAGAGCUUGAUUUUUCAACAAUUUAACAAACUAUGAAUAGUCGAGAUAUCCUAAACGAUAAACAUUUAUUAGGAAUGAGCAUAUGCGGACUUCAAAUCGGCCAAGUUUUGUAAGCAGGACUGGCGAUGCGGGAUGAACCGAACAUACAGAUAAAGUAUCCAAGUCUUGCAUGAGGAGAACCAUAAAAGGUGUUCAUUCAUAUUGACAAUAGGACGAUGGCCAUGGAAGUUGGAAAUCGCUAAGGAGUGUGUAACAACUCACCUAUCGAAUGGAUGAGCCCUGAAAAUGGAAGGUAUUAUAAUGAGAGAGAGUGAUACUGUAUCCUUGUGGAGGCUGAGGCACACGAGGAGUAAGGAAAUGCAUGGUGUCAAGAAUACGUGAGUGAUAAAGGUAGAGAAGUAAUUUCUAUUGAAACAGACUUGAGUACAGAUCU
Molecule: non-coding RNA, 603 nt
Filed under: Entamoeba invadens IP1
Lineage: Eukaryota; Evosea; Mastigamoebida; Endamoebidae
Description: Eukaryotic large subunit ribosomal RNA
Rfam family: Eukaryotic large subunit ribosomal RNA
Source: Rfam by way of RNAcentral